Long non-coding RNA from Sebastes umbrosus (honeycomb rockfish), 2659 nucleotides. RefSeq lists it as uncharacterized. The record is from RefSeq and is a predicted model, not a curated record. The transcript has 3 exons. Lineage: Eukaryota; Metazoa; Chordata; Actinopteri; Perciformes; Sebastidae.
AGGCAACGUUUCACUUCUGCUCGGUUCCUCUUCGUUUGGAUGAGUGCUCCUUCCUUCCGUCCUUCCAGCAGAGUUUAAGGGUCCAUCCUUCUGCCUCUGGAGUCUUCUGGGUGUCAGAUUACUGAACGUGGAAGGAAAUCACACAAAAAAGGAAUUGGAAGACUCUCUUUGUACUUGGUUCCCAGGAGGAUAUAGUAGCAGCCUGGAGAGACUGACAAGGAGGCCAGCCGUAGGGGCUUUACACUGAGCCAUAUAUCUUCCCACAGUGGGACCAGAACCCACCAUUAGACUACACCUGCACUUAGGAAGGCGACAACAGUCAUUCAACAUACUAACUGCCUCACCGAGAGGGUGCUGGUGUACUUUCACUGGUGACAGCUACAGGAGUCGAGGGAGCAACAACGGCUGUGAGAAACAAUUUGGCUCAAAAGACAAAAGGCAAUAAAGAAGAGCACAAUAAUAGCACUGUUGAGGGGCGCAUUGGCAUGGCCUUUUCCACAGGUAGAUGCAUUGUGAAUAACGCAGUGCUGUAUUUUGCAAGCUACGCAAAACAAGUGUGAAUGCAUUAUGGGUUUAUAGCCCAAUCUUCCCUGCAGCACAGCAGUAUAUGGAUGUCAGUGAGGUCGCCGCUGUAAAUCAGGUUUAGUCUAAUCAGAGCUACUGGCCGUGGGAUUUAAACCAAAUCACUUCUGGUGGUGUGUUACCUUUUCUUUGGACUGUGGAAGAAAAGUGGAGUACCUGGAGGAACAAAAUCCAAGAUGCACCCAGAUGUGUCAUACAAGUUUUAGCUCGAUCCAACUGAACCUCCUCUGUAAAAUCUCACACACAUUCAGUAAACAGUGUUUCCACCCACCUGUGAUCACUCAAGGUUUUGUGUACACUACUAAAGUCAUGUUAGAGUAAAUAAAAUUAUUGGGAAAACGGUAGGAGACAGAGAGAAAUUAACCUCAUUCUGACAUUGCACAUUUAAACAAAAAGGCCCAUUGCACUUAAGACUAAGAGGCCACUUAAUUGAGUUUACCCUACCAAUGAGAAUCAAUAGGGAGUAACCCAGGGAGCUACAAAUUCAGAUAGUUGGAUUUACCGUCCAACACUAAAGUAAACUUUACGAGUCAGACUUCACAAACUUUCAGAGGAGCUACUUAAAGGUCCAGUGUGUAGGAUCUGGCGGUUUCGGUGAGGUGAGGAGAUUGCAUCCAACUGAUCAAUAAAAAUAUGACAUUAGUUUACUGGUGAGGAGUCUUUGGUAUCAGAAUAUCUAUUCUCACUCUCACAUCCUCGGUCAUGAUGAAGUAUGAUAUGAUCCUGUCAUAUAAAGGAAAAAUCAAAACUGAUUGUUGGAUUCAUUGAAAACAAAUCGUUGCAGAUUCUCCCCACAUACAGACACAAAAUACAGCUGUGAAUAAACACUGCAGAGGAAUGUGGUUCAGAAUAAAUGGUGAGAAACACGAGCCAGACGGUCUUCAUUGCAAUAAAGGUCUCGUCUUUUCCUCCGGAGACGCUUUAAAUUGGAUGAGCAAUUGUAUCUGUGGAAGACGGAGUCGUGAACUGGAAGCUAACUGCUCAUUACUCAGCGGUGUGAAGGACAAUUAUUGCACAGCGGCUCGAUCUUUCUUAAAAGGUACUAUAGCAAGUAGCCAAGGAAGACACACUGGACAGGUUUUGUUCUCAUUCUUCCUGAAGGAAAUUAUUGUUCAAGUUGUGUCGAUUUCUCAGAAGAAUGCUAAACAACUGUCUCGGAUAGAAGUUAUGCAAGUAAAAAACAGUCUUUUGGGACAACAGUUGAUGUAAUGGGGGUCGAUGGUCUGGUGCGUACCUAUUUGGGGCUUCUUGGCAUGAAUAAGACUGGAAAACAGCUGCACCGCAACAAGAGCCAGACAGGCAGUCGAACUCUGAUCAGAUGUGUGUAGUUUUUUAAAUGACGCCAGACACGGUAAGACAAUGUUUUUAAGCUCCUUGUUUUCAGAGCUCCAACCACCAACUGAACCUUUGACAGUAUAAGAAGUACAGGAGUUGUUAUUGAGAGAUACAGUAGUGAUGUAGCGCAACCGAGUAAGGUCAUAGAGUUGUCUUCUGUUGUUCCUUUUGACCAAACUGUAGAAAAUGAAUGAACCUCUAAGAAUAAAAUAAUAACAUGUUUGACAGACAGGUUUUAAUCAAAUUAAGUCUGGUGGUAUUAUUCCUUUUGUCGCCCCAUCCACACUUUUUCAUUUUCAAUUUAAAAAAUGUUAUUAAAGAAAGUUAUCAACAGGCCAGAGUCACAGUUAACCACAUUGAUGAAAAGAGCCAGUAGGCCAUGCCCACGUCUUUCCAUUACCGUGUGUGUGUGUAUAGUGUGUGUGCAUAGUGAGACUCGGGGCGCCAGCGUAUGGCAAGAAACAGUUUUUAUUAUAUUUCAGAAUGACAAAUAGUUAUGGACAUUUACUUUUGUUGUUUUCAAUACACAAGCAAAUCUGUAUGGACAAUCAUUAGGUAGAUGAAAACCAAAUAAAAUAAUAAUUUGUACACAUAUCUUACAAUACAUACUGUAGUUCCUCACUGGCUAAAGCAAUAUGCAUUAUGCAGGAAGGUAUUGCUAUUCAUAUAGUACAGCUAAUUACAGUUGAUGUGGAAAAAAAAAAAAAAAGCAAAAAUAAGUUAUUUAAAUAUCAAUUACAUA